UACAGAGGGUGCGAGCGUUGUCCGGAAUCACUGGGCGUAAAGGGCGCGUAGGUGGCGGCCCAAGUCCAUGGUGAAAGCUCGAUGCUCAACAUCGAGUCGGCCACGGAUACUGGGUUGCUCGAGCACUGUAGGGGCAGAUGGAAUUCCGGGUGUAGCGGUGGAAUGCGUAGAGAUCCGGAAGAACACCGGUGGCGAAGGCGGUCUGCUGGGCAGUUGCUGACACUGAGGCGCGACAGCGUGGGGAUCAAACAGG
Molecule: ribosomal RNA, 253 nt
Filed under: uncultured bacterium
Lineage: Bacteria
Description: partial 16S ribosomal RNA
Rfam family: Bacterial small subunit ribosomal RNA
Source: RNAcentral